GAGUGGUUGCGUCUUCCGCUUCAAAUCCUUUGGGGCGUGCUUCACUCCGUGCCCCAGCAGGUCAAUUCCUCG
Molecule: transfer RNA, 72 nt
Filed under: Polytomella parva
Lineage: Eukaryota; Viridiplantae; Chlorophyta; Chlorophyceae; Chlamydomonadales; Chlamydomonadaceae
Description: partial Selenocysteine transfer RNA
Source: RNAcentral